This 252-nucleotide ribosomal RNA is filed under the name uncultured bacterium. Its description in RNAcentral is "partial 16S ribosomal RNA". It matches the Rfam family "Bacterial small subunit ribosomal RNA", at positions 524 to 776 of the family's 1533-position model. The record is from RNAcentral.
UACGUAGGGGGCAAGCGUUGUCCGGAUUUAUUGGGCGUAAAGAGCGUGUAGGCGGCCAGGUAGGUCAGCUGUGAAAACUCGAGGCUUAACCUCGAGAUGUCGGCUGAAACCAUCUGGCUAGAGUCCGGAAGAGGAGAGUGGAAUUCCUGGUGUAGCGGUGAAAUGCGCAGAUAUCAGGAAGAACACCCGUGGCGAAGGCGGCUCUCUGGUACGUGACUGACGCUGAGACGCGAAAGCGUGGGAGCAAACAGG